Molecule: ribosomal RNA, 253 nt
Filed under: uncultured bacterium
Lineage: Bacteria
Description: partial 16S ribosomal RNA
Rfam family: Bacterial small subunit ribosomal RNA
Source: RNAcentral
UACGUAGGUAGCAAGCGUUGUCCGGAUUUAUUGGGUUUAAAGGGUGCGUAGGCGGUCCUAUAAGUCAGUGCUGAAAUAUCCCGGCUUAACCGGGAGGGUGGCAUUGAUACUGCAGGACUUGAGUAAAGUUGAGGUUGGCGGAAUUGACGGUGUAGCGGUGAAAUGCUUAGAUAUCGUCAAGAACACCUAUUGCGAAGGCAGCUAACUAAGCUUUAACUGACGCUGAGGCACGAAAGUGUGGGGAUCAAACAGG